CCGAAUUCAACUUAUAGAAAGAUGCUCUACUUUUCAAAAAAAAAAGAAAGAUGCUCUAAGAGUAUUUCCAACAUAGAAAUUACCUAAAAGAAAAAGUAAUUUAAGUUUUUUUUUUUAAAAAAAUUAUUAUUUUAACCCAAAAAAAAGUUGCUUGAACUAUUGCAGAUGAUGCAUGAGAGUGUUAGUGUCUAAUCGAAUUGAUCUAUUAUUCUAUUGUAUUGGCCAUUUAAAGCGGAGAAGGUCUUUGAUGCAAUUAGAAUUGUGCUCUUCAUUCAUUCACUAUUUAUCACAUGUAAAUGUGCUCUUCAUUCAUUCACUAUUUAUCACAUGUAAAUGUGUAUUAUUUUAAUUAGUUGAAUCAUACCCAUCAAAGAGUGAAUUA
This 382-nucleotide long non-coding RNA is filed under the name Citrus maxima (pomelo). RNAcentral's name for it is "long non-coding RNA (CMAX_LNC000983)". The record is from RNAcentral. Lineage: Eukaryota; Viridiplantae; Streptophyta; Magnoliopsida; Sapindales; Rutaceae.